GCAGAGGUUACAUGGCUCCUGAGUAUGCAAUGAGAGGUUACUUAACAGACAAAGCAGAUGUUUACAGUUUCGGUGUUGUCUGCUUAGAGAUUGUUAGCGGAAAGAGCAACACAAACUACAGACCAAAAGAAGAGUUUGUUUACCUUCUUGAUUGGGCAUAUGUCUUGCAAGAACAGGGGAGUCUUCUAGAACUCGUGGAUCCAGAUCUCGGUACAAGCUUUUCGAAGAAAGAAGCAAUGAGGAUGUUGAACAUAGCUUUACUAUGCACAAACCCAUCACCAACAUUGAGACCACCAAUGUCAUCUGUUGUAAAAAUGCUAGAAGGAAAAAUCAAAGUCCAACCACCACUGGUGAAACGUGAAGCAGACCCAAGUGGUUCGGCUGCAAUGAGGUUUAAGGCCUUUGAGCUUUUGUCACAAGACAGCGAGUCGUCACAGGUCUCAACAUAUGCAAGAAACGGUCAACAACACAUAAGCUCCUCGUCGAUGGACGGUCCUUGGGUUGAUUCUUCCUUCUCUGAGCCUAGCAAAGAUGCUGUUAACCAACAACAGCAAGAAGAAGCACGUUCAUCGUCUUCGUCGAGGAAACUUUUAGAUGAUCUCACCGAUGUGAAGAUUGAGUAAUGAAUAAAAAUGUAAAUCAUUAAAGAUUCUUUUAUUCAAUUUACGGAUCAGCAACAAUAUUCCAUCCAGUAAGAAAUUAUUUUCAGGUUUUGUUAUUACCGCUGUAAGUUUUCUUUGGUUUGAUGAGUUUGAUUUAUUAUGUUGUAGUGUAAUUAUGAGUUAAAUAAGCUGAGUUAUUUAUGAGUUAAGUAAGAGCAUCUCCAACCAUAGUUGUUUAAUAUGAAGUGCUUAUCACUAAAAUUAUACAAAUAUUGUUAUUUAAUUUGAUGGGUUGCUUAAAUAGUGAAAAAACAUUUCAAAAGUUCCUUAAAUCUCAUGUUUAAGCACUUUUGAAGGUAGAUUUUAUACUAUAUAAGCAACUCACAUAAUUUUUUUUUAAUAUUUUUUCUCUCUCUAAGAUAAGCAACUUAUGAUAACAACUCUUCAAUGGAGAUGGUCUAAGGGUUAUUUAUGAGUUAAGUAAGCUGUUUAGCGGAUCACAAUUAUCUAUAGAUAAAUAAGUGUCUAAAUGAUUUAUACAUUUUUAGCGGUUUUUGAAAAAUGUUAAGAUAGAUGCCAAAAAAAAAACACUAAACCUAAAAGAUUUCACAAAAUUUAGAAUAAAUUUAAAAUAGAGUAAUAUGUAAAUGUAAAAAAACAAAAAAAAAAUCUUAUUCGUUAUGUUUUCUAAUUUUAACGUUGAAGAGUUGUCAAAUUAAGACUCUUAACAAGCUCCUUUCAAUGCAAGCAAACACGACAAAGUAUGGCGAUGGAUUACAAUUUUGGUUAGCUACGGGUAGCUAAUUACCUCCUCUUUUCUUUCGGAAAUUUAUUUGUUGCUCUUUAAAUUUGCUCUGAUAUAAAAACUUUUUUUGUUUUGAAUAUAUUUUCACAUUCAUUCAAAAAAAAAAAAAAAAAAAAAUUAAGACUCUUAAUGAUGUUGUGUUUGCAAGAAAAGAAUUUACACAUUCAAAUAUAAAUUUGACCACAAAAAAUAACGUAACAUAAUAUUAAUAUCAUAAGUAUAUAAAUAAGAGGAAAUCAUAAAAUUUAUCGACACAUAUUUUUAUUUUUGUAUUUUUGUUGUAUUUUAGUGAUUUAAUUAAAACAUAGAUAAAACGAAGAAGACUAGAAAGAUGUCAAUGAAUACCCACAAAUAUUCCUAAUAAUUAUUCAGAUCCGAUGGCUAAAAUAUUAUUUUAUCCAUUUUAUACACUUUAAAAAGCUGCUUUCUUCUUCUUCUUUCUCUCUCAAUCACUUUGGUCUCUUUUUUUUUUUUCCCGAGAGAGAGAGAGAAAAAAGAAAUGGGAUUGUUAAUGUCGGGAGAGAAAGUGAAGUAUGCUCUUCUCUUCAUCUUCAUCAUCUGCUUCGAUAUUUUCUUCGCAUCAAAUGCUCAAUUUUUGCCAGACGAUGAAGGUCCUUUCUCUAUCUUACUCUUUUUCUUUUCUUUUUUUGGGGUUUACUCUUUCUAUUACAUAUUUACAUUUCCAGUUACAAGAUUUCUUCACUGACUCGCCGAUUCGACUUUAUUUUUCGAUGAAUUGUAUAAUUAUAAUUGGAUUGUUGCUUUAUAUAGAAAAAAGAGUGUCAAAUUAUUGGAUUCUUGCUUUAAAUACAUUUAUAAAAAUUAUCCUUUUUUUUUUUAAGUUAUCGAGUAAAACUAUAUUGUUGUUUAUUAAAUAUAUAUAUAUUUGCUGUUGAUGUUGGUCGUCAAUGGAUUUAUAAUUGUAUGGUAGUAUUUAUUUGGUCGUCGUGAAUCAUGGUAGUCUUUUUUUUUAUAUUUAAAACACAUCUGAAUCAAAUAGUUUAUAUUUUUAUAACGAUCCAUGAGUUAGAAAUAAAAUAAAAUGAACCAUAGAGUUAUCUAUAUUCUAUUAUUUUUUGUUUCCCUAUAUUCUAUUAUUGGUCAAUUUGUAAAUGCGUGACUAAUUUUUAUUUUAUUUUGUAAUAAAAUUCUACGGUGACAAAAAUAAUAAUAUGUGCAAGUUGGGUUGAUGAGAGAGAGACGUUGCGAAAAUCUCUGUGAAUGAGAUAUUUUAUAGUACAGUUAUUUAUAUCUCAUUCUCUUUUAUUUUAUUUAUAUAAAAAGCUUGGAUUGGCUUUAAAUCUUAGCCGUCAAAUGUAUUGUCAAUUUUUUUGAAACAGUUCAAACAUUGCGAACCAUCUUUAGAAAGCUUCAGCACCAAACAGUGCACGUCGAGAAGACUUCUUGUUCCGACGGGAAAUGGAACUUUACUACCGACUCAUCCCCCAAAGCAACCAGUAACAUCGCCUGCGACUGUACCUUCAACGCCAGUUCUGUCUGUCGUGUCACUUCCAUGUAUAUGUUUAUCCAUAUGUCAUCUCCCUAACUUUCCAAGCAAGAAACAGAUUUAGGGUUCUGAAAAAUAUAUAUUUUUUUUUCUUAUCAUUUUCAUCAACAGACAGCUUAGAGGUUUCAAUUUGCGAGGAAUUAUCCCGCCAGAAUUCGGGAACCUCACGCGUCUUAGAGAGAUGUACGAACCUCAGAUCUUUGUUUCUUGAUUUUACUGUCACUGACUCAAUGGAUCAUAGCUAAAAUGUCCGACGGCUUAUUGGGGCUUAAGCACUCUUUGUUCUUGGAUUUUCUUCUUCUUACAGAGAUCUUGUGCUGAACUUUCUCAGUGGAACAAUACCUAAGACAUUGUCUCGAAUUCCACUUGAAAUCUUGUAACCGUUCUCUCCAAUUCAUAUAUCUUUUUCUUGUGAUGAUCGAUUAGUUGUACUGAUUCUUGCCUUUUUGUUUUCUGCAACUAACAGGGCUGUAACCGGAAACCGUCUCUCCGGACCAUUUCCUCCUAGUAUCGUAGAUAUUACCACACUUACUCAACUGUAAUAUUUACAUAUCUGAUAUUCUUUUCUUCUAAUCAGAAUUUAUAGGAGACUCUAAUAUGGAAAAUAAAAUAAUUGCAGGCAUUUGGAAACUAAUUUGUUCACAGGAACACUUCCUUCAAACCUAGGGAACUUAAAAAGCUUGAGUAGAUUGUAAGAUCCUUUAUUAUAUAUACUUUUUCUUCUUCUUAUGUAUAUGUAUUAUUAUUGUAGUUUUACUUAGUGAUUUGGUAUAUUUAUGAUUACAGAUUAAUCUCUUCAAACAAUUUCACGGGUCGGAUCCCUGAGUCCUUGAGCAGCCUCAAGAACUUGACUGAUUUGUAAGUAUCAAGAAGUACAGUGGGAUUUCGAAAAUGUUGGAAUGAUUCUAAAAUUUUCAUCUGUUUCUUGCAGUCGGAUUGAUGGAAACUCUCUAUCAGGGAAGAUACCUGAUUUUAUUGGAAACUGGACUCAGCUCACUAGGCUGUGAGUAACCAUCAUUUAAAUUUUCAGCUUACUGUAAAAUUUUUAGUAAGACUGAAUUGUUUAAUCUGCAGAGACCUCGAAGGCACAUCAAUGGAAGGUCCAAUUCCAGCUUCAAUAUCAAACUUGAAGAACUUGACUGAAUUGUAAGUAAGCAAAGAGUUUCACAAUACCUUUUGAGCUUAGUCAUAAAGCUCUCUCUCCUUUAUCAGGAGGAUAACCGAUUUGCAUGGACCGACAUCUUCUUUUCCAGACCUGAAAAAUAUGACGAAUAUGCAACGACUGUAAGUGUUAAUAACUUUGACUUUACUCAUGUUAUAAACUCUGUUUCAUCAAACAACAUUUACAUAUCUUCUUUGCUUAUUAACUUUUCAUAGGGUACUAAGAAACUGUUUGAUAAAGGGACUUAUUCCUGAAUACAUUGGUACCUCCAUGAGUAAGCAGCUGAAGUUACUGUAAGUCAAAACUCACGUGCUACUUUUACAGCUUAAAGACUAAUAAUUUGAUCAAAGAUCUCACAUUGAAGUAUUUGUGUGUGUGCAGAGAUUUAAGCUCAAACAUGCUAACUGGUGUAAUUCCAGACACAUUUCGGAAUCUUGAGGCAUUUAACUUUAUGUAAGUUUCAAAUUUAUCAACAUGGAUGAUAUAAAUCUUACUUAAACUGUUUGUUAAUUAACCUUUGCUGCUUUAGGUAUCUGAAUAAUAACUCAUUGACUGGUCCAGUUCCUCAGUUCAUUCUGGAUAGUAAACAAAACAUGUAAGCAAACUAACUAACUACCUCGAAGUCCAAAAUUCAGAAUACAUCUGCAUCGAUCAACGUCCUUAAUUUCUUGAUCUGUUUUCAGUGAUCUAUCUUACAACAAUUUCACUCAGCCACCUACUGUAAGCUGUAAUCAGCUUGAUGUGUAAGCGUCUUUGUUAUUUGACAUCAGUAAUUUUCAGCUUCAUAUCGUUUAUAUGUUUUUCUCAUAAGCAUUAUUGGUUAAUAUUUUCAGGAACUUGAUCUCCAGCUACCCAUCAGCAACCAAUAACUCGUGAGUCUUCUUUCUCCCCUCUUUUUGGUUCAUAUAAAACCCGUAAACCAAAGAUACUUACCGCAAAGUACCACCUACUUGUGUAGUGUGCAAUGGUGCUUGAGGAAGGAUCUUCCAUGUCCUAAAGACGCAGAACGUAAGUUGUAAAUUCCAACUUUCAAGAUUUAAACUUUUUCUAGAAGAAAAAAAUGACCUGAAAAAGUUUCUCGCAGAUUCUUCCUUGUUCAUCAACUGUGGAGGUAACAAACUCAAGGUUGGUAAACACAUGUAUGCGGAUGACUUAAACAAGAGAGGAGCAUCAACAUUCUCUUCUGACUCUGAAAGAUGGGGAUACAGUAGUUCUGGAGCUUGGUUAGGCAAUGACGGUGCUCUCUACUUAGCAACAGACACAUUUAACUUGAUCAAUGAAUCAAGUCCAGAGUAUUACAAAACUGCCCGUCUUGCUUCACAAUCACUCAAGUACUAUGGACUCUGCAUGAUAAGUGGAAGUUACAAAGUGCAGCUCCAUUUUGCAGAGAUUACGUUCUCAAAUGACCAGACUUAUAGUAGCUUAGGGCGGCGAAUAUUCGACAUUUAUGUCCAAGUGAGUUUUGCAGAACAAAGAAGAAAUCAUUUUUUCCCAAAAUAAAGUUUCAGUUUCAGAAUUAAAAAUAGUAUUAUCUUGUGCAGGGGAAUUUGUUGGAGAGGGACUUUAACAUAGCAGAGAGAGCAGGUGGAGUUGGUAAACCGUUCAUAAGGCAAAUUGAUGAUGUUCAAGUGAAUGGAAGUACGUUGGAGAUCCACUUGAAGUGGUUAGGGAAAGGCACAAACGUAAUACCAACAAGAGGUGUUUACGGGCCUCUCAUUUCCGCCAUAACCAUUACACCAAGUGCGUUUUGUUUUCUUUCCAAUCUUUCUCAACUGUUUAAAAUAAUUCUGGAGUGAGUAAAUGAAUGAAUGUUCUUUCUCUAUUUUAUUGCUUGCUGUUUGUAGAUUUCAAGGUUGAUACCGGAAAAGAAUUAUCCAAUGGAGCAGUUGCAGGCAUUGUAAUUGCAGCGUGUGCGGCUUUCGGGUUGCUGGUACUUCUAAUCCUCAGGCUUACAGGUCACUUAGGUGGAAAAGAAGUGGAUGAAAAUGGUAAGAAAUAAAACAUCGUUCUAUUGUUCAAGAAAUGCUCUUGUCAUUUUCAAGAUCUUAUUGUUUCUUUCGAAUCUUACUAAUUUGUUAUAUCAGAGGAGCUUCGGGGACUUGAUUUGCAGACUGGAUCGUUCACAUUGAAACAAAUCAGACGGGCUACCAAUAACUUUGAUCCAGAAAACAAGAUUGGUGAAGGAGGUUUUGGACCGGUUUAUAAGGUGAUGAUUGCUUUGGUUUUGCAUCUUCACAAAGUUCUUUGAGUUUGGAUUAUAAGUAGUAUAAGUAUUAAUGUGAUUUGGUUUUUAGGGUGUUCUCGCUGAUGGAAUGACCAUAGCUGUGAAGCAGCUUUCAUCAAAAUCUAAGCAAGGAAACAGAGAAUUUGUGACUGAGAUCGGGAUGAUCUCUGCGUUGCAACACCCAAAUCUUGUGAAACUAUAUGGUUGUUGCAUUGAAGGGAAAGAGCUUUUGCUUGUGUACGAGUACUUAGAGAACAACAGUCUCGCUCGCGCUCUCUUUGGUUAGUUUUUUAAUCCAUCUGGAUAGAUAGUUUAAUGUUCCUGAUCUUAAGCUAAAGUCUCUUGUGGGUUUUUUUAAUAGGCACCGAGAAACAGAAACUUCACUUGGACUGGUCAACAAGGAACAAAAUAUGCUUAGGUAUUGCCAAAGGAUUGGCUUAUCUACACGAGGAAUCAAGGCUGAAGAUUGUUCAUAGAGACAUAAAAGCUACGAAUGUUCUUCUUGACCUGUCUUUAAAUGCUAAGAUCUCUGAUUUUGGUCUAGCUAAACUCGACGAAGAAGAGAAUACACAUAUCAGCACAAGAAUUGCAGGAACAAUGUGAGUGCUCAUUACUUAUAUUUUCUAAAAUUUAUAGCGACCAGUUAACACUUGACGUAUCUAUAUUUUUCACUUGAUGCAGAGGUUACAUGGCUCCUGAGUAUGCAAUGAGAGGUUACUUAACAGACAAAGCAGAUGUUUACAGCUUCGGUGUUGUCUGUUUAGAGAUUGUUAGCGGGAAGAGCAACACAAAUUACAGACCAAAAGAAGAGUUUAUUUACCUUCUUGAUUGGGCGUAUGUCUUGCAAGAACAAGGGAGUCUCCUAGAACUCGUGGAUCCAGAUCUCGGUACAAGCUUUUCGAAGAAAGAAGCGAUGAGGAUGUUGAACAUAGCUUUACUAUGUACAAACCCAUCACCAACAUUGAGACCACCAAUGUCAUCUGUUGUAAGAAUGCUAGAAGGAAAAAUCAAAGUUCAACCACCACUGGUGAAACGUGAAGCAGAUCCAAGUGGUUCAGCUGCAAUGAGAUUUAAGGCCUUUGAGCUUUUGUCACAAGACAGCGAGUCGUCACAAGUCUCGACCUAUACAAGAAACAGAGAACACAGGAGCUCUUCGUCAAUGGACGGUCCUUGGGUCGAUUCUUCCGUCUCAGAGCCUAGCAAAGAUGUUAUUAACCAACAACAGCAAGAAGAAGGACGUUCAUCGUCUUCGUCGACGAAACUUUUAGAUGAUCUUACCGAUGUGAAGAUUGAGUAAUGAAAUAAUUGUAAAUCAUUAAGAUUCUUUUAUUCAAUUUACGGAAACAACAAUAUAUACCAACAUACUAUUAAUACUAGAUUUUAAUCCGCGUUACACCGCGGGACGACAUUCUAAAAUGUAUUCUUUUUAUUAUUUUUGUUUGGUAUAUAAGAGUAUACUACUAUAUUUUGAUUGUUAAUUUUAUGAUUUAAUCCGUAGAAUAUUAUAUAAUUAUUGAUUUUUUAUAUAAUCGUAAUUUGAUUAAAUUAAUUAAAUAAGUAUAAUAUUUAAAAUAAUGAAAUGAUACUGACAUAAUAUUCGUUUACAUAAUAUAAUUUCAGAUUUAAAUAUUUUUGUGAGUUAUACUAUAGUAGACAACUCGUAAAAAUAUCUAUAAUCAUAAUUAUGUAAAUUAUAACUCGUUCCAUCACAUGACCCGUGCUACACAAUUAUCAAUAAUACUUUAGGUUAUACAUUUUUGUAUCGUUUGAGUAAUAUACAUCCGUUUCUAAAAAUUCAAAUUACAACAUAUGCAAAAAAACUAUAUUUUUAUCAUACAUAUGUUAUAUGUAAGAAUAAAAAAUUUAAAAACAAAUAAUACAUUUUAAGAUAUUUAAGAAAUUUUCAGUUUAUUAGGGAGAUAUUUUAGGAAAUUUUAUUAAAUAUAAUAAAUAUUAAUUUCCAAUUUUGUAAUUUUAUUAUGAUUUAAUUACAAAAUUUACUCUAAACUUUUGUUAUUUAAUUAAAUGGCCUUGGUUUAAUUAUGUAAAUAUUACAAAAUAAAAGGGUAUAACACAAAAGGUACUUUAAAAAUGUUAAUAUAGAUUAAUCAAAAAUUUCUUCCCUUAAAAAAAAAAAACUUUUCUUUUUAGUUUUUUUUUUUUUUCUGGUACAAAUCUCUUUUUAGUUUUUACUUGCUUUUCUUAAUCCAUCCGGAAAUAAAAUCUUUUCAGAUAUGUUUGUUUUUCCAUUUUGCAUCUCCAUUUAGAUGAAUUUGAUUUACUAUUUACAGUUUAGUACGUGUUUAAGAAAGAGUUAUGCGUUAGGCGAUACGCGAUAAGCAACAAUUUCUCUCUAUAUCUAAAAUAAUAAAUGGAGGCCUACAUAAGUUUGUUCAUUUUUAGCGGUUUUCGAGUACUAUAUUAUAUAUCUAAACAAUAUACAAUAAUGAAAAUAAAUUUGACAAAAAGGAAUAUAAAAUAAGAAAUAAAAUUUUAAGAAAAAAAUAAUAAAAAAAAUUUUAAGAAAAAAAGUUUACUAAAUAAAAAAAAAACUGAAAAUUUUCACACUUUUAAAAUAAAAUGAAAUGAAAAUGUAAAAGAAAAAAGUAUAAUUGUUUCUAGACACAAUUUUGGAAUCAAUUUUUUCUUACAAAAUUAAAAAAUUGCCUUGCCAUAGGAAAAAAUAGAAACUAAAAACGUAGAAAGCAAAUGAGAGUGAUCUUUAAUUAAUGAUACUCCCUCUAUUUCACUAUAAGUGAUGUUUAAGGUUUUGACACACUAAAUAAUAAAAAAAUAUAACUUACCCAUUUUUUUUUAUUUUUUUUUUGACAUCAUUACAAAUAAUAAAUCUUUCUUUGAGAGGGACCGGGCUCGAACCCGGAUCUGAUGAGAAGGCAAACAGAGAUGAGAACCACUAGCCCACUUCCUCCUUCUCACUUACCCAUUUUCUAUAAAAACAUCAUUAACUAAUAUGAAUUCAACCAAUAAGAAAAUAUGAUGUAAACUAUAAUUGGUCAAAAAAUAUUAAAUACAUUAAAUUUUUGCAUAGGAAAUUGAAAACAUCACUUAUACUGAAACAACAACAAUUGGCUAAAACAUCACUUAUAAUGCGUUCUUUGUUUAUCUGAUGAUAUCAAUAUUAAUAGGGAAGAAUUCUCAAUUUUUUUGUUAUCUUUUAUUCCAAGAAAUUUAAGUGUAAAAAGAUACUUCAACACACGUAAAACUCAUUCCAGAUUGCAUCUUAUCAAAUAUGUAAACAGUUGUUCUUUCAAUUAGCUCUUUUAAGUUGCUCUUAGUUUGUUGACGAUAAAAUAAAAAACUUACAUAUACUUUGUUACUCUCUCCACGACUCAAAACUCUUGAUCUUUGUGUAUAUAUUUUAUUCGUUUUAUGUCUUCUAAUUUUAACGUUGAAGAAGAGUUGUCGAAAAAACUAUACAUACCAUACAAAUGAGAUAAUUUCAGACUCGUAACAUAUUCGUUGUGAUUGAAAAAAAAAAAAAAAAAGGUACACGUUCAAAUAUUAUUAGGGAAACUAUAAUGUAGGGGUUCAGAUAAAAAAAAAAUUUAAUAUCUAUCCUCAAUAAUUUGUUAUUUAUCUCUCUUUUUUGCGUACGUUUUUGUCCCUAGCUCUAUGGUAUCUAAGAGAAACAAAAAUGCAGGGGUUCUGUCUCUAGGUCUAGGUCUUUGUUAUCUAAGGAAAACUAUAUUUACGUAUUUGUAUAAAAUAUUUAUACUACCAGUUUAUAUAAAUACUUAAUUUAACGGAUAAUAUGUAAUUUACGCGAUACAAUAUUAUUUAACAUGUUUAAAAAAAAGUUAUCGAAUGCUUUUAAUCACUGAUGAACAGUGUUAUCGAAUUCAUGAAAAUAUAUAUAUCGGUUUGAGUUUAUAAAACAGUGGUUAGGCUUUAGAUUUUAUAAAAAAACAAAAAUGUAUUUUUAUUUGUGUUUAUAAAAUAGUGGUUGGGUUUAGAUUUUGUAAUAAAACGACAUUAUAUUUUGGUUUGGGUUGACAAAAUAGUUGUAAUGGUUUAGUUUUUGUAAAUUAAACGAAAUUAUAUUUUGGUUUGGGUUGACAAAAUAGUGGUUAGGGUUUAUAUUUUAUAAUAAAAUCAAAUUAUAUUUCAGUUUGGGUUGACAAAAUAGUGAUUAGGGUUUAGAUUUUGUAAUUAAACAAAAUUAUAUUUUGCUCUGGGUAUAAAAUAGUGGCUAGGGUUUAGAGUUUAUAAUUAGUCGAAAUUAUAUUUUGGUUUGGGUUGAUAAAAUAGUGGUUAGGGUUAGAUUUUGUAAUUAAACGAAAUUAUAUUUUGUUUUGGGUUGAUAAAAUAGUGGUUAGAGUUUAGAGUUUAUAAUUAGUCGAAAUGAUAUUUUGGUUUGGAUCGAUAAAAUAGUGGUUAUGUUAUUACUAAUCAACAUAUAACCCGUUCGUUAUCUGAUAACAUCCACACAUGAUAAUAUCUGAUAACAUCCACACAUGAUGCUUCGUUAUCAACAUAUAUUUGAUAACAACCUAGUUAUCUGAUAACAACCUAGUUAUCUGAUAACAAUCCGGUAACAAUCUAUAUAUGCAACCUAGUUAUCCGAUAACAAUAUAUAUAUAUAUAUUGCAUUAUCAUUUCGUUGACAUAAAUCACUUUUCUCCAACUUAGUGUAGAGAAUUGCACCGAGAAUAAACAUUAAAUGCUAUCAGAACCAAAAAGAAAUAAUUAUUAUUUUUUAAAUUGAUAUAGGGACAGCCACGUAAUUUUUCCCCUCUCUCAUUGAAAAAAUUAAUUUUUAUCUUAUCAACUCAUUCUUUUUAGUUUUUGGUCUAUUUGUGCACUUACUUUUAACAAGCCCAUAUUAUUAACCACGAAACAUACUAUUAUUAGUAUAGAUAACUAAAGAGGAGAUCAUCAAAUUUAGCCGACACUUUUUUGUGUCCCUUGUUUUUAUUGAGUUAUAACAUAAACGACCCUAGAAAAGAGAGGUCAAUGAACAAGAACAACCCUACAAAAGUUAUUAGGUACACCGGUGGCUAAAAUAUUAAAAAGAAUAAAUAUGCAUUUUAGAAUUAUUAUUAUGUGAACACUAAAAAGGCUGCUCUCUUCUUCUUCUUCUUACUCAAUCUCUUUGAGAAAUUAAAAAUGGGUUUGUUAAUCUCUGGAGAGAAAGUACUCAAGUAUGCUCUUCUCCUCUUCUUCAUCUGCUUUGAUAUUUUCUUCGCAUCCAAUGCUCAGAUUUUGCCAGACGAUGAAGGUCCAUAUUUCUAUCUUUUUAUCUAUCUUACUCUUCCUAAUACAUAUUUACAUUUCCCGUUAUAUUUUCUUCACUUCCAGUUUUGAGUCGCCGAUUCAACUAAUUUAUCUUUCAUGAAAUCUAUUAUUGGAUUAUCUUUUAUUUCAAGACAUCCUUUGUUACAAAACAAAACAAAGAUAUUGUUGUUGUAUUUUAGUAGAAAUAUAUAUAUUUGUUGUUGAUAUAUAUAUAUAUAUAUUUUUUUUGUCAACAUUUGUUGUUGAUAUUGGUCGUCAUGAAUCAUGGUUUAUAAAAUAAAAUAAAUUUAUCACAAGAUUCAUAAAGUUAUCUAUAUUCUAUUGUAUGUCAAUUUGUAAAUGCGUGACUAAAUUUUAAGGUUUUCUUCUAAUAUAUCUUACACAAUUGUAAAUUCUAAAAACAAAACCUAAAUACACUUAUUUUUAACAAAAAAAAAAUGUAUCAUACACAAUUUUUUCCAAGAUGUGUAUUAUUAAAUAAUUGUGCUUCAUAAAAAAAAAAUGUACUUCAUGGGUUUGUCCCAAAAAAAAAAGAAAAUUAAUAUGUGCAAGUUGGGUUGAUGCAAGAGAGACGUUAAUUGAUGACAAAAAAUAAAAAUAAAAAUAAAAAAAAGAGAGAGUCGUUAAUAGGAUCUUGAGAUUGAGAUAUCAUAUACCUUAUCUCAUUCCCUUUUCUUUGAUUUAUACAAAAAGCUUGGACUGGCUUUAAAUCUUAACCGUCAAAUGUUUUGACAAUUUUGUAAACAGUUCAAACAUUGCGAACCAUCUUUAGAAAGCUUCAGCACCAAACAGUGAACGCCGAGAAGACUUCUUGUUCCGACGGGAAAUGGAACUUUACUACCGACUCAUCCCCCAAAGCAACCAGUAACAUCGCCUGCGACUGUACCUUCAACGCCAGUUCUGUCUGUCGUGUCACUUCCAUGUAUGGUGCCCAUUACAUAGUAAAUAAAACUUUUUAUUUCCGUUAACUUUCAUAACAAGAAACAGGGUUAGGGUUCUGAAAACAGUUUUUUUUUUUUUGAUUUUCAUCUACAGAGUGCUUAUAGGUCUCAAUUUGCGAGGAACUAUCCCGCCAGAAUUCGGGAACCUCAGGCAUCUUAGAGAGAUGUACAAACCUCAGAUCUUUGUUUCUUGAUUUUACCUUAGAAUAAUGGAUCAUAGCAAAAUAUCUGAGGGACUCUUGGGUCUUAAGCCAUCUUUGCUCUUGGUUUUUUUUUUUUCCUUCUUCCAGAGAUCUUAUGCUGAACUUUCUCAGUGGAACAAUACCUACGACAUUGUCUCGAAUUCCACUUGAAUUCUUGUAAUCAUUCUAUCCAAUUCAAUUCAAAUAUCUUUUUCUUGUGAUGAUCGAUAAAAGUUGUACUGAUUCUUGCGUUUUUGUUUUCUGCAACUGACAGGGCUGUAACCGGAAACCGUCUCUCCGGACCAUUUCCUCCUAGUAUCGUAGAUAUUACCACACUUACUGAACUGUAAUAUUUACAUAUCUGAUAUUCUUUUCUUCUAACCAGAAACUGACGAGACUCUAAUAUGGAUGACAAAAAAAAACUGCAGGGAAUUGGAAACUAAUUUGUUCACAGGACCACUUCCUUCAAACCUAGGAAACUUGAGAAGCUUGAAAAGAUUGUGAGAUCCUUUAUUAUACAUUUUGUUUUCUUCUUCUUCUUAUAUAUUGUCAUUUUAGUUGUACUUAGUGAUUUGGUCUAUUUAUGAUUACAGACUAAUCUCUUCAAACAACUUCACGGGUCGGAUCCCUGAGUCCUGGAGCAAUCUCAAGAACUUGAGUGAUUUGUAAGUAUAAAUAAGUACAGUGAAAUUUCAAAAAUGUUGGAAUGACUUUAAAAGUUUUUCCAAUGUUUUUUGCAGUCGGAUUGAUGGAAACUCUCUAUCAGGGAAGAUACCUGAUUUUAUUGGAAACUGGACUCAGCUCACUAGGCUGUGAGUAACCAUUAUUUCUUGGAUUUAAUCUUCUAAAGAACACUAUGAGAUUUGUAGUGACUAAAAUGUAUAAUCUGCAGAGACAUUCAAGGCACAUCAAUGGAAGGUCCAAUUCCAGCUUCAAUAUCAAACUUGAAGAGCUUGACUGAAUUGUAAGUAAGCAAAGAGUUUCACAAUACCUUUUUUCUGCAUGCUUGUCAAAACUUUUGAGCUUAGUCAUAAAGCUCUCUCUCCUUUAUCAGGAGGAUAACCGAUUUGCAUGGACCGACAUCUUCUUUUCCAGACCUGAAAAAUAUGACGAAUAUGACACGAUUGUAAGUGUUCAACUUUGGCUCAACUCAAGUUAUAAACUCUGUUUCAUCAAACAACAUUUACAUAUCUUCUUUGCUUAUUAACUUCAUCAGGGUACUAAGAAACUGUUUGAUAUGGGGAACUAUUCCCGAAUACAUUGGUAGCUCCAUGAGUAAUCUGAAGUUACUGUAAGUCAAAUUCUCUUGCUGGUUCUACAGCUUAUAGGCUAAUAAUUUGAUCCAAUUUCUCACAAUAAAGUAUGUGUGUGUGUGUGCGCAGAGAUUUAAGCUCAAAUAUGAUAAACGGUACAAUUCCAGACACUUUUCGGAAUCUUAAGCAAUUUAACUUUAUGUAAGUUUCAUGUAUAAAUUGAAUACAUUGGUAGCUCCAUGUAUAAAUCUUACUCCAAACACUGAUUUUUAAUUAACCUUUGCUGCUAUAGGUAUCUGAAUGAUAACUCAUUGACUGGUCCAGUUCCUCAGUUCAUUCUUGAUAGUAAACAAAGCAUGUAAGCAAACUAACAAACUAUCACGAGGUUGAAAAUUCCGUUAAUCAUCUGCGCUUAUCGGGUCUUUAAUUUCGUGAUUUGUUUUCAGUGAUCUGUCUUACAACAAUUUCACUCAGCCACAUAUUUUAAGCUGUAAUCAGCUUGAUGUGUAAGCAUUGAUGUUGUUUUUAUAUCCGUGAUUUUUCAACUUAACUUUGUCUAUAUGUUUUUCUAAUCAGCAUCAUUGGUUAAUAAUUUUCAGGAACUUGAUCUCCAGUUACCCGUCAGCUACCAAUAACUCGUGAGUCUUCUUUCUCCACUCUUUCCGGUUCAUAAAACCCGUAAACCAAAGAAACUUACAGCAAAGUAAUACCUACUUGUGUAGUGUUCAAUGGUGCUUGAGGAAGGAUCUUCCAUGUCCUAAAGACGCUGAACGUAAGUGGAAAAUUCCAACUUUCACAUAUACACACCUCAAGAUUCAAACUUUUCUAAGGAAAAAAAAAAAAACUGAAUAAGUUUCUCGCAGAUUCUUCCUUGUUCAUCAACUGUGGAGGAAACAAACUCAAGGUUGGUAAACACAUGUAUGCAGAUGACUUAAACAAGAGAGGAUCGUCAACGUUCUCUUCUGACUCUGAAAGAUGGGGAUACAGUAGUUCUGGAGCUUGGUUAGGCAAGGCAGAUGCCCCCUCCUUAGCAACAGACACAUUUAACUUGAUCAAUGAAUCAACUCCAGAGUAUUACAAAACUGCCCGUCUUGCUUCACAAUCACUCAAGUACUAUGGACUCUGCAUGAUAAGUGGAAGUUACAAAGUGCAGCUCCAUUUUGCAGAGAUUACGUUCUCAAAUGACCAGACUUUUAAUAGCUUAGGACGGCGAAUAUUCGACAUUUAUGUCCAAGUAAGCUUUGCAGAACAAAUAAGAAAGUUUCAGUUUUCUUCGACCAGUAUGUUAGUUUGAUAUUCUUAUUAUCUUGUGCAGGGGGAUUUGUUGGAGAGGGACUUUAACAUAGCAGAGAGGGCAGGUGGAGUUGGUAAACCGUUCAUAAGGCAAAUUGAUGAUGUUCAGGUGAAUGGAAGUACGUUGGAGAUCCACUUGAAGUGGUUAGGGAAAGGCACAAAUGUAAUACCAACAAGAGGUGUUUACGGGCCUCUCAUUUCCGCCAUAACCAUUACACCAAGUGCGUUUUGUUUUCUUUCCAAUCUUUCUCAACUGUUUAAAAUAAUUUUGGAGUGAGUAAAUGAAUGAAUGUUCUUUCUCUAUUUUAUUGCUUGCUGUUUGUAGAUUUCGAGGUUGAUACUGGAAAAGAAUUACCCAAGGGAGCACUUGGAGGCAUUAUAAUUGCAGCGAGUGCGGUUUUCGGGUUGCUGGUAUUUCUAAUCCUCAGGCUUACAGGUUACUUAGGUGUAAAAGAGGUGGAUGAAAAUGGUAAGAAAGAAAACAUCAUUCUAUUGUUCAAGAAAUGUUUCAAGAUCUGAUUGUUUCUUUCGAAUCUUACCUUUUUGUUAUAUAAGAGGAGCUUCGGGGACUUGAUUUGCAGACAGGAUCGUUCACAUUGAAACAAAUCAAACGUGCCACUAAUAACUUUGAUCCAGAAAACAAGAUUGGUGAAGGAGGUUUUGGACCUGUUUAUAAGGUGAUGCAUGAUUGCUUUUGUUUUAAAACCUUCCAUGUUCUUUAAGUUUGAUUAUCUUAUUAAUAGGUUUUGGUUAUUAGGGUGUUCUCGCUGAUGGAAUGACCAUCGCGGUGAAGCAGCUUUCAUCAAAAUCUAAGCAAGGAAACAGAGAGUUCGUGACUGAGAUCGGGAUGAUCUCUGCGUUGCAACACCCAAAUCUUGUAAAACUAUAUGGUUGUUGCAUUGAAGGGAAAGAGCUUUUGCUUGUGUACGAGUACUUAGAGAACAAUAGUCUCGCUCGCGCACUCUUUGGUUAGUUUCUUUAUCUAUAUGAGAAAGACAAGUUCUUGAUCUUUAAGCUAAAGUCUCUUGUGGGUUAUUUUAACAGGUACAGAGAAACAGAAACUUCACUUGGAUUGGCCAACAAGGAACAAGAUAUGCAUAGGUAUUGCAAAAGGAUUGGCUUAUCUACACGAGGAAUCAAGGCUGAAGAUUGUUCAUAGAGACAUAAAAGCGACGAAUGUGCUUCUUGAUCUGUCUCUGAAUGCUAAGAUCUCUGAUUUUGGUCUAGCUAAACUCGACGAGGAAGAGAAUACACAUAUCAGCACAAGGAUUGCAGGAACAAUGUGAGUGUUCAUUGCUUUUCUUUUCUAAAAUUCAUAGCGACCGGUUAACACUUACAGACUAUAUAUCAUUGCUGCAGAGGUUACAUGGCUCCUGAGUAUGCAAUGAGAGGUUACUUAACAGACAAAGCAGAUGUUUACAGCUUCGGUGUUGUCUGUUUAGAGAUUGUUAGCGGGAAGAGCAACACAAAUUACAGACCAAAAGAAGAGUUUAUUUACCUUCUUGAUUGGGCAUAUGUCUUGCAAGAACAAGGGAGUCUCCUAGAACUCGUGGAUCCAGAUCUCGG
RNAcentral lists this long non-coding RNA (16791 nucleotides) under Capsella rubella. RNAcentral's name for it is "long non-coding RNA (CRUB_LNC005197)". The record is from RNAcentral. Lineage: Eukaryota; Viridiplantae; Streptophyta; Magnoliopsida; Brassicales; Brassicaceae.